UUUCUUGUCUCUUCAGAUUGCAUAAAUAUUUAUCCUUUUACUAAAGAUUUCUAUAAAGAGGAACAAUUCUGAGUCUUUACCCAAUUUUUUGAGGUCUUGUGUUUCAAGGCU
Molecule: non-coding RNA, 111 nt
Organism: Otolemur garnettii (small-eared galago)
Lineage: Eukaryota; Metazoa; Chordata; Mammalia; Primates; Galagidae
Source: Rfam